This 253-nucleotide ribosomal RNA is filed under the name uncultured bacterium. RNAcentral's name for it is "partial 16S ribosomal RNA". It matches the Rfam family "Bacterial small subunit ribosomal RNA", at positions 524 to 776 of the family's 1533-position model. The record is from RNAcentral.
UACGAAGGGGGCUAGCGUUGCUCGGAAUCACUGGGCGUAAAGCGCACGUAGGCGGAUCCUUAAGUCGGGGGUGAAAUCCUGGAGCUCAACUCCAGAACUGCCUUCGAUACUGAGGAUCUCGAGUCCGGGAGAGGUGAGUGGAACUGCGAGUGUAGAGGUGAAAUUCGUAGAUAUUCGCAAGAACACCAGUGGCGAAGGCGGCUCACUGGCCCGAUACUGACGCUGAGGCACGAAAGCGUGGGGAGCAAACAGG